This 254-nucleotide ribosomal RNA is filed under the name uncultured bacterium. RNAcentral describes it as "partial 16S ribosomal RNA". It matches the Rfam family "Bacterial small subunit ribosomal RNA", at positions 524 to 776 of the family's 1533-position model. The record is from RNAcentral.
UACGAGGGGAGCAAGCGUUGUUCGGAUUUACUGGGCGUAAAGGGCGCGUAGGCGGUCGUGACAAGUCACUUGUGAAAUCUCCGGGCUUAACUCGGAACGGUCAAGUGAUACUGUCGGACUAGAGUACAGAAGGGGCAACUGGAAUUCCCGGUGUAGCGGUGAAAUGUGUAGAGAUCGGGAGGAACACCGGUGGCGAAGGCGGGUCUCUGGGCAAUUCCUGACGCUGAGGCGCGAAAGCGUGGGGAGCAAACGGG